RNAcentral lists this transfer RNA (61 nucleotides) under human gut metagenome. It matches the Rfam family "tRNA", at positions 6 to 65 of the family's 71-position model. Rfam says of the family: Transfer RNA (tRNA) molecules are approximately 80 nucleotides in length. Their secondary structure includes four short double-helical elements and three loops (D, anti-codon, and T loops). RNAcentral also lists the same sequence under 2 other names. The record is from RNAcentral.
GAUAGCUCAGCGGUAGAGCAUUCGGCUGUUAACCGAAGGGUCGUAGGUUCGAAUCCUACUC